This 253-nucleotide ribosomal RNA is filed under the name uncultured bacterium. RNAcentral describes it as "partial 16S ribosomal RNA". It matches the Rfam family "Bacterial small subunit ribosomal RNA", at positions 524 to 776 of the family's 1533-position model. The record is from RNAcentral.
UACGAAGGGGGCUAGCGUUGUUCGGAUUUACUGGGCGUAAAGAGCUCGUAGGCGGUUUGUCGCGUCUGUCGUGAAAGCUUGGGGCUUAACCCCAAGUCUGCGGUGGAUACGGGCAGACUAGAGGCAGGUAGGGGAGAACGGAAUUCCCGGUGUAGCGGUGAAAUGCGCAGAUAUCGGGAGGAACACCGGUGGCGAAGGCGGUUCUCUGGGCCUGUACUGACGCUGAGGAGCGAAAGCGUGGGGAGCGAACAGG